Molecule: non-coding RNA, 1256 nt
Organism: Musa acuminata subsp. malaccensis (wild Malaysian banana)
Lineage: Eukaryota; Viridiplantae; Streptophyta; Magnoliopsida; Zingiberales; Musaceae
Source: RefSeq, a predicted model, not a curated record
CCUUUUAUUUCUUGCCAAUGGCUGCUGAAUUUUCUAUCGAAAACCUAAAAAAAAUAGUUUCCAGAAAUGGACAAGCUAGACCUAAAUGUAUUUUGACAAAAUAGAUUUGUGUUUAGAUCCAACCCAGGCUGAAAUAAUACUGAACUGCAUUAAUAUACUUUCACUUCCUCGUGUUGUAUCCAAUGAUGCAAUUUACCAAUCUUCUCUCUCCGUUUCCUACUUUGGUGCUUCAAAUUCAUGCAUGCAUUACUAGAAUAAUAAUUUUACUGUGGCUUUUGUCUUCUUUCUGUAUCAACAUGCAUCUAAUGUGUUUGACGUGUGGAAGGAUGCCAGAGUUGGUGGAAUAGUGAAUUUUAGAUAUGUAUUCUGUAUUUUAGUUGCUGGUCUUUUAUACAUCAAUCCUUUUGUUACUUCCAGGCUUCCUUCAACUUUUGCUCUCAUAAUAUAUCUUUCUCUGGUUGAAGUUUCAACCUCCUGUAGUGUUUGUUGUAUAAGCUGGGCAUUGCGAGUCUGAUUUAGUAACGUUAGUAAAAUAUGAUUCACCAGUUAAGUAACAUCAUACUAUCCUAACUGCCUGUAGAGUUUUGUAUUAUGUGCCUGUAUGAUUGCUGCAAGUAUUAUUCAACUAUGCUUCUUUUAUUGCAGUUUCGUACUUAAAUCUCGAACCAAAAGCUCUAUCAUCCACCUCUAUGUAAGCUAGAAUUAUUCAACAGAUAGGAGUCAUCUUUUACAUGAUUUGUAAAGUAUGUUGUGUUAUGUGGUUGCCUCAUGAAUGGACUUGAAAGAGUAACACUUUUAUCUUCUCGCGGCAAUUUGAACUUAAGAUCUGGCUUCAACUUCUGAUGGCGACCAUAUGUUUGAGCAGCAGUCUCUCAUGAACCUUGGCCAGGUUUUCUUGUAUGCCAUGAUGCACUUACAGAAGGUGAGCCUGGUUGGGGUGUUAUCCUUUCUCCACAGUUUGCUGUCCUAUGGGACCUUUUGGAGGAGACUGGUGAAUGUACUUUGCUUUUCUGUCUCAUGUCAAGGAUAUUAGAAUGAAUCUAUUUAUCGUCAUCUGAUCUGUUGAAUGCUGUGACAAUUUUAUACCCAAUUGCAUGUUGAGUCAAAGAAUACCGUGUGAAGUUGGCUUUUGGGUUUCCUUGUGGGCAAAGUGGGUUCACAAUUUGGGUGUGUUAUAGGUUUUAGAUCAUGGAUAUGUUUCCGUUGAUGGUAGGCCAAUAAAUCUAGGGGGGUAAAUGAUUUCCCCUGCACUGUCU